CAGGCCUAGGAUCCAGACCAGUGUGGGGGGCUGGAGGGACUUGAAUAAAUGGCAGAAAGAAUUGAGGUUCAUGAGCAAUGGGCAAGUGAAACACGCUGCAUGGUGUUGGUUGCCUGGGCUGUCCUCAGCCCCAGCCCCAUAGACCAGAGCUGAGCCCUGGAAGACGAAGUUCCAAAGAUCAGUGACACUCAGAGCUCCAGGUGUGGGGCCCAGGCAGCUCUGCUCUGGGUGACCGGGCUGCAGCGGUGGGGUGGGGAGUGAAGACAGCUCUCUCCCUGGGGUCCCCGUUGGAGGCCACGCAUGGCUGGGGUGCCAGAGGUCCAGAUGUGGUCAUGCAGGAAUGCCAGCCUCCCUGGAGCUUGGGUGGUCUCUGCUGCAGGCAUCAGCAGUCAGAAGCAGCAUCAGAGAGGGAAAACAGCCGAUGCCAGCCGGCACCUGUGGAGCACAUCUGGACUGAAUUUCCCAGCUUCUGCCGCAGGUCUGUGAGGCCAUGUGACCUGAGAAGCAGUGAAGGUGGCAGAAGUGGGAUCCACCACAUCCAAGCUCAGGCCAUGAAACUGCCUGUGGCAUCCUCCACACUCUUGCUCUUCUCUCUCCUGCUGGUCAGACAUGGAUGAUCCAGUGGAGGCCUCCAAGGCCCUAGGGGAUGGCAGAACCGCUCGAUAGCAGAUGCUUGGGGCCCUGGAGGACUGCAUGGAUCAAAGCCCCCUCCAACCAACCUUGAUUGUGAAAUGAUGAUGAAAUAAACCUUCAUUAUGGUGUGUCACCGAGAGUUUGAGAUUGUUUGUUAUAGCACUUCAUCUACUCUGAUUAACACAAAAUCUGUUGAAGAGAAAAAAACACAGUAAACUCAGAUGUUUAGUGAUGUUUUCGAUAGCAUUCAUGGGGAAGGAAAAAUGCAACUUGAUUUCCAGACAGCUUAGAAAAAUUCAAAGGGAGAAAGAUUUCCUCUGGGUCAUUUUCACAAAGAAGGAACUCGGCCUGAGCUGAGCCAGAGGGAGUGAGUCACAGUGAAGACCACUGGCUUAUUAAUGGUACCAGGAAGCCUGAAUCCAGUGAAUGUGUCUGGCACUAGGGAUGUGUAUCCAUUAUGACUGAGUUCAGCUCUAUUUAAAAGGAAAACUAAUGACUGAGGCUUAAACAACAUGAGUGUUUAUUUUUCUCUCAAGCUUCAAGUUACAUAGUCCAAGGAUUUAUCAGCUCCAUGGUGACAUCAGGCUUUUUCUAGUUUUUCAAUCCAGAGCCCUUUUUAGAGUGUGGCCUUCAUUUUGUGUUCACAGCUACUAGAGUCCCAGCUGUCAUGUUGACAUUUUGGGGAGAGUACAGGAGGAGAAGUGGAGUGCAUAGGUAUGCACACUGGCUCUGGGGUGCCUGGGAUGCUCUGGCGGCACUCCCUUGGCCAUCUUCACUCCAGCCAGCCAUGUCCAUAGAUCCACACACGUGGUAAGCAUCACACACCAGCCACACCAUGAUGCCUCUUUGCUUUGCUGGAGCCACAGAAGACCACCCAACCACAUGAAAGAACAAUCAGUUAGUAUGGGGGAGCUAAGAACCCAAGGGAGAUCCCAAGCAAUGGGGAACUAGGCAGCCCAGCCUCGUAGUCCUCCACUGAGACGAUCGUGAGGCAUGGUCCACUGUGUGCAGGGUCCCACGGCAGACUGAGGUACUCACUGGCAACUGGCCUAUUAAUGCCUCCUUCACUGCUUUCCUCUCUUCCUUUUUUCCCUCUCCCCCAUUUCUGUUACCUGGGAUGAACUCCAAGAUAAACCACCUGCACCCAAGUUC
RNAcentral lists this long non-coding RNA (1785 nucleotides) under Homo sapiens (human). Its description in RNAcentral is "HSALNT0152553". The record is from RNAcentral. Lineage: Eukaryota; Metazoa; Chordata; Mammalia; Primates; Hominidae.